This 444-nucleotide ribosomal RNA is filed under the name uncultured bacterium. RNAcentral's name for it is "bacterial SSU rRNA". It matches the Rfam family "Bacterial small subunit ribosomal RNA", at positions 28 to 473 of the family's 1533-position model. The record is from RNAcentral.
GAUGAACACUAGCGGCAGGCUUAACACAUGCAAGUCGAGGGGUAUUGGUUUUCGGACCAAGAGACCGGCGCACGGGUGCGUAACGCGUAUGCAAUCUACCUUUUGCAGAGGGAUAGCCCCAGAGAAAUUUGGAUUAAUACCUCAUAGUAUAGUACUUUGGCAUCAAGGAACUAUUAAAGUCACAACGGCAAAAGAUGAGCAUGCGUCCCAUUAGCUAGUUGGUAAGGUAACGGCUUACCAAGGCUACGAUGGGUAGGGGUCCUGAGAGGGAGAUCCCCACACUGGUACUGAGACACGGACCAGACUCCUACGGGAGGCAGCAGUGAGGAAUAUUGGACAAUGGGCGCAAGACCUGAUCCAGCCAUGCCGCGUGCAGGAUGACGGUCCUAUGGAUUGUAAACUAGCUUUAUANAGAAGAAACACUCCGACGUGUCGGAGCUUGAC